ACUGCAACUCUGUGGCUUCUGGGGACAGGUGUGCUGUGCUCUGUUGAACCUGUGCACGCCCAUCUUGCCCUAAGUCUGUGCAGCAGCAACCAGGCUGUGAAACGCAGGAUACGGCUUGUCACCACCGCCCCGCGGCUUCCCUGGACCAACAGCCUGGCCAGGAGCGUUCUCCUCCGUUCAGAGGCAGUCGGCAGUCCAGCCACGUGAGCACCUCCAAGCCUCUGCUUGCAUCUCCUCCGCUGACAUCUCGUCGGCUAAAGCACAUCAGAGGCGAGGAAAUACCUCGCUGUUACAGGUGGACAGCUCCCGCUGUACCCAGGCAGCCCGGGACAAGUCGGAGCGAUGCUGCAG
Long non-coding RNA from Bos taurus (domestic cattle), 351 nucleotides. The record is from Ensembl. Lineage: Eukaryota; Metazoa; Chordata; Mammalia; Artiodactyla; Bovidae.